GGAUCAUUACCGAGUUUACACUCCCAAACCCCAUGUGAACCUACCACUACGUUGCUUCGGCGGGAUGCCCCGGGCGCGGGCCGCAAGGCCUCAGCCCCGGAACCAGGCGCCCGCCGGAGGCCCAAACCAAACUCUUGUUUUUAUAGAAUCUUCUGAGUGGCCUUUUAGGCAACAAAUGAAUCAAAACUUUCAACAACGGAUCUCUUGGUUCUGGCAUCGAUGAAGAACGCASCGAAAUGCGAUAAGUAAUGUGAAUUGCAKAAUUCAGUGAAUCAUCGAAUCUUUGAACGCACAUUGCGCCCGCCAGCAUUCUGGCGGGCAUGCCUGUUCGAGCGUCAUUUCAACCCUCAAGCCCCCCCGGGGGCCUGGUGUUGGGGACCGGCACCGCCCCGUCGCGGGUCGCCGCCCCCUAAAUUCAGUGGCGGUCCUGCCGCAGCCUCCUCUGCGUAGUAGCUUUUGAAACCUCGCACCGGAGAGCGGCUCGGCCACGCCGUUAAACCCCAACUUUCUAGAGUUUGACCUCGGAUCAGGUAGGAAUACCCGCUGAACUUAAGCAUAUCAAUAAGCGGAGGAAAAGAAACCAACAGGGAUUGCCCCAAGUAACGGCGAGUGAAGCGGCAACAGCUCAAAUUUGAAAUCUGGCCCCUCGGGCCCGAGUUGUAAUUUGCAGAGGAUGCUUUUGGUGAGGCGCCGCCUGAGUUCCCUGGAACGGGACGCCAUAGAGGGUGAGAGCCCCGUCUGGCUGGCCGCCGAGCCUCUGUAAAGCUCCUUCGACGAGUCGAGUAGUUUGGGAAUGCUGCUCUAAAUGGGAGGUAUAUGUCUUCUAAAGCUAAAUAUUGGCCAGAGACCGAUAGCGCACAAGUAGAGUGAUCGAAAGAUGAAAAGCACUUUGAAAAGAGGGUUAAAUAGUACGUGAAAUUGUUGAAAGGGAAGCGCUCAUGACCAGACUUGGGCCUGGCGAAUCAUCCGGCGUUCUCGCCGGUGCACUUCGCCAGGCUCAGGCCAGCAUCAGUUCGCCGCGGGGGAUAAAGGUUUUGGGAACGUGGCUCCUCCGGGAGUGUUAUAGCCCGUUGCGUAAUACCCUGCGGUGGACUGAGGU
This 1099-nucleotide ribosomal RNA is filed under the name Hypocreaceae sp. 1b4. RNAcentral's name for it is "eukaryotic LSU rRNA". The stretch from base 517 to 1099 matches the Rfam family "Eukaryotic large subunit ribosomal RNA", at positions 1 to 592 of the family's 3401-position model. Lineage: Eukaryota; Fungi; Ascomycota; Sordariomycetes; Hypocreales; Hypocreaceae. The record is from RNAcentral.